This 477-nucleotide ribosomal RNA is filed under the name uncultured bacterium. RNAcentral describes it as "partial 16S ribosomal RNA". It matches the Rfam family "Bacterial small subunit ribosomal RNA", at positions 28 to 507 of the family's 1533-position model. The record is from RNAcentral.
GAUAAACGCUGGCGGCGUGCAUAACACAUGCAAGUCGAACGAUGAAGAUUAAAAGAUUUCUUCGGAAUGAACUUAAUUGGAUUAGUGGCGGACGGGUGAGUAACGCGUGAGUAACCUGCCUUGUACAAGGGGAUAGCCGUUGGAAACGACGAAUAAUACCCUAUGACAUCAAAUAAUCGCAUGAUAAUUUGAUCAAAGAUUUAUCGGUAUAAGAUGGACUCGCGUCUGAUUAGCUUGUUGGUAGAGUAAAAGCCUACCAAGGCAACGAUCAGUAGCCGGCUUGAGAGAGUGUACGGCCACAUUGGGACUGAGACACGGCCCAGACUCCUACGGGAGGCAGCAGUGGGGAAUUUUGCACAAUGGGGGAAACCCUGAUGCAGCGACGCCGCGUGAUUUAGAAGGCCUUCGGGUUGUAAAAAUCUUUUGUAUGGGAAGAAAAUGACAGUACCAUACGAAUAAGGACCGGCUAAUUACGUG